GGCGAACGCUGGCGGCGUGCUUAACACAUGCAAGUCGAACGGAAAGGCCCUGCUUUUGUGGGGUGCUCGAGUGGCGAACGGGUGAGUAACACGUGAGUAACCUGCCCUUGACUUUGGGAUAACUUCUGGAAACUGGGGCUAAUACCGGAUAGGAGCUCCUGCUGCAUGGUGGGGGUUGGAAAGUUUCGGCGGUUGGGGAUGGCCUCGCGGCUUAUCAGCUUGUUGGUGGGGUAGUGGCUUACCAAGGCGUUGACGGGUAGCCGGCCUGAGAGGGUGACCGGCAACAUUGGGACUGGGAAACGGCCCAGAGUCUAACGGGGGGAAGCAGUGGGGAAUUUUCCACAAUGGGCGGAAGCCUGAUGCAGCAACGCCGCGUGCGGAAUGACGGCUUUCGGGUUGUAACCCGCUUUCGCCUGGGACGAAGCGUGAUGACCGGUACUGGGUAAAGAACCACCGCCAAACUAGUU
RNAcentral lists this ribosomal RNA (467 nucleotides) under uncultured bacterium. RNAcentral's name for it is "partial 16S ribosomal RNA". It matches the Rfam family "Bacterial small subunit ribosomal RNA", at positions 28 to 506 of the family's 1533-position model. The record is from RNAcentral.